Molecule: ribosomal RNA, 123 nt
Filed under: Steatocranus glaber
Lineage: Eukaryota; Metazoa; Chordata; Actinopteri; Cichliformes; Cichlidae
Description: partial 12S ribosomal RNA
Source: RNAcentral
CGCGCACACACCGCCCGUCAUUCUCCCCAAGCCUAGCCCCAUCUCAUAAAUAAUACUUUGAACCGGCAAAGGGGAGGCAAGUCGUAACAUGGUAAGUGUACCGGAAGGUGCGCUUGGAAAAAU